RNAcentral lists this long non-coding RNA (9205 nucleotides) under Homo sapiens (human). RNAcentral describes it as "HSALNT0006364". Lineage: Eukaryota; Metazoa; Chordata; Mammalia; Primates; Hominidae. The record is from RNAcentral.
GUGACUCAUGCCUUUUCACCCCACCUCUGCCAGUUUAAACUCUGCGCAUUGUUUUUUCUUGACCCAACCAAGGUUCCUCCUCUUCUGGGAAGUCUUCCUUGAUUAGACCAGAGGGCAAAGCCAGGCCAGCAGCCAGCCCAGCUUCUCCACUCACUGAAGGAGAGACAGAGGUUCCUAGAGGGUCAGGCCUCUGCUAAGGCACAAACAGUCCCCUCUUCCUUUCCUGUCUCCUGGUGGGAAGCUUCUGACUGCCGGAUCCGAUUCUCCUUGCACGAGGCCACAUUUCCUCCCAGCUCUGCCCUCAGUUGUCCCUGGGGGGUGGGAGUGGGUUCGAGUCAGGUCACUCCACCAGCCUGCCAGGGCCAGAAGGCAGAGCCACCAUCCCUGUCUCCCUGCAGCAAGUGAAUCCCAGCCCCUCACACCUGUGAGGUUUUGCCAGGAGAAGCCUGCUUCUGCCUGGGCUCACCUUGCUCCCCAGCAGCUGUCUGAGGCCUCUCCAAGAGCCUCCUUGGCCCCCUUCUCAUUCUGUCUUGCUCAAUAUGGGCAGAUCUAGGAGAGUGGGAACCCUAGGGGCUCCUGCAGGGGCUGGGCCGGCACUGACCUUACAGCCCUUCACCCUCACCCCAUGUUCCUGCCCUGAUCCAGAGGGGAGUGCUGGGAGCAGGGAGCUGCUGGCCCCAGAACUGCUGAGACCCCCAAUCCUUAUCGCUCAUUCCCACCUGCCAGCCUGGCCAGAUCGGGGAGGGAAAGGAGGCUGGGCCCGGGCCAGGGUGGCGCUUAAUGACCCUCCGGGGGCCUAAUCUCAGACUGGCAGCCACGGAGUGGCUCAGGCGCGCUCCUGGAGAAGGCUGAUAACGCACCAGCUGGGCCCCCACCAUCUAUCGCUGCACAGCCAGUCCCAGGGGCAGCCUCCCAGGGCCUGGGGAGGGGGAGCCUCUGGACUAGGGCGGGGCUGGAGGCGAGCUCUCCACCCCCAGCCCUGAGGGAGGGGAUCCUGAGCUUCGUGAUUGGCAGACAAGGGAGAGACCCAGCCUGCAGGAGGGGUGGGCUGGGCCUGGUGGGAACCUCCAGACACCUGUGCUCCUUCUCUCUUUCCUGCUCUCUUCCCAACCUUUUCUCCCCACGUAGGACCUCUCCUGCCCAGGCCUGUCUCCUCUUUGUCUCUCCCAGCCUCCAUCCAUCUCUGUCUCCCUGUUUCUCAGUCUCUCCACCUCUGUUUUUGUCUCAUCCUCUGCCUCUCUCUCUCCUGUUUGCCUUUCUCCUCCUCCACCUGAGCUCAGUGCCCACCUCCUCUUUCUCUCUUGCAUCCCUUUUCAGUUUCCAGCUGGUUCUCUUGGUUGUCCCCUUCCCAGCUGUCCCCUGCCUCCUAAGCUUCCUUGAUGUCAACCCUUGGCCGGGCAGUUCCCACGAUCUCAUUGGUCUCACUUCUGUGUGUGGUAUCAUCUCUCUGUGGUCCCUUCCACCAGCUAUCUGCCAGGAUUGCAGGCUGCCUCAAGCCCUGGCUCUCAGCCCAGAAUGUCCUCUUACUGUUGAGGACAUUUUUGCUCUUCCUGGAACAGGGCUUGCACCUUGUUUUCCCCUCUCCCACCUAAAACAUGUCCUGGGAGCCCUCCGGAACUCUGCUGCCUGGCAGUCCUUCAGUUUCGGGAGCUUUUCUGUCUGCCCGUGGCCUCGGCUGCCACCUGGUGGCUGCACGCUCCAAAGGAAGCGUAGAUUGAUGAGAGCCUCGGAAGUUGAGCUUCAGGCGCGGCUCUUCCCCGUCACACUGGGACCGGACGCAUUUCCAUGGCGUGGUCCCAGGAACCUCUCAGAGUGAACUGAAUUGGAUGCAAGAUCACGGUGCGUCAGAGCUAGCAAGAUCCUUAGGAUCAUUUAGCCUGGUUUACUAAUAUUACACUAUGGAAUUUAAGCCCAAGGAAUGGAGAGUACCCGACGAGCGUUAUGUAAGGAGUCGAGUGAGAAGUAAGCUGGAUGCUCUGCUUGGCUGGCAGGUACAGAAUGUGCCAGACCCAUCUGUACCAGCCUGGAUCUCUUGAGGCAUCAGCACAAUGGACCUGGCCACACCAGUUUAUUCCACACCGCUGAGGCUGGUACAGUUCUGGACAUGGACUUUGUAAAUAAAUAACUGGGCCUUUGGUCAGUUCUAGCUGUGAGCUUGGAGGUAUGGGGUGGGAUGGUGAGGACAGGUGGGGGCAAAGUGAGGAAAGGGGCAGGGAGGAGAGGGGAGAGAGAAAAAGGGGAAUGAGACAGGCUGAGCUAGUGAGCUGGAAUUGGAGGUUGGGAACAGGCUUUCCUUGAUGGUGGUGGUGCUGUUUUCUUUUUAAUUUUAAUUUAAUUUUAUUUUAAGUUCCAGGCUACAUGUGCAGGAUGUACAGGUUUGUUACAUAGGUAAAAACAUGGUGGUUUGCUGCAACUGUCAACCCAUCACCUAGAUAUUAAGCCCAGCAUGCAUUAGCUAUUUAUCCUGAUGCUCUCCCCACCCCUGCCCCAACAGGCCCCACUGUAUGUUGUUCCCCUCUUUUUUGUUCACUUAAAAGAUCCCACUUUUAAGUGAGAGUAUGCAGUGUUUGGUUUUCUGUUCCUGUGUUACUUUGCUGAGGAUAAUGGCCUCCAGCUCCAUCCAUGUCCCUGCAAAGUACAUGAUCUCAUUCCUUUUUAUGUCUGCAUAGUAUUCCAUGGUAUAUAUGUACCAUAUUUUCCUUAUCUAGUCUAUCAUUUAUGGGCAUUUGGGUUGAUUCCAUGUCUUUGCUACUGUGAAUAGUGCUGCAAUGAACAUAUGCUUGCAUGUAUCAUUAUUUUUUUAUUUUUUUUGAGAUGGAGUCUUACUCCCUCACCCAGGCUGGAGUGCAAUGGUGCAAUCUCUGCUCACUGCAACCUCCUCCUCCCGGGUUCAAGCAAUUCUCGUGCCUCAGCCUCCCGAGUAGCUGGGACUACAGGUGCCUGCCACCACACCCGGCUAAUUUUUUUGUUUUUUUGUAUUUUUAGUAGAGACGGGGUUUUACCAUGUUGUUCAGGCUGGUCUCGAACUCCUAUCCUCAGAUGAUCCACCCUCCUGAGCUUCCCAAAGUGCUGGGAUUACAGGCAUGAGCAACCACACCCAGCCACAUGUAUCUUUAUAAUAUAAUGAUUUAUUCCUUUGGGUACACACCCAGCAAUGGGAUUGCUAGGUCAAAUGCUAUUUCUGGUUCUAGGUCUUUGAGGAAUCACCACACUGUCUUCCACAAUGGUUGUACUAAUUUACAUUUGCUGGUGCUGUUUUCUACAUUGAAUCUGAGGGCUACUGUAUGAUGUGUAAGACACUUUCUGAUUGGAGCCUCACAAUGAUCCUACCAGAGCAUGCAGUCCAUUUGGAAACAUGCAUGUGGGAAAGUGGGGAGGGACCCUGUCAAGCAUCUAAGAGGAGUGGUGGCAUUUGCUGUGUCCACCUCCAUCCUUCCCACUCACUACUCAGCACCUAUAGCCUUGUCGCUCUCCCCAACACUCUGCUGAGACUGUUGUCACCAAAAACACUAUUGUCCGGCUCCCUGUUGAAAGGUAAGAUGGUCUAUCUGAUUCUUCCGCUCUCAGUAUAAUAGGAUGAUCACCAUUUUAUCUGGGAAGCUGUUCCUGACCACCUGCCCUCAGCUCAUCAAGCUUCUGUGAGCCUGCAGGCUCACCCUGGUCAUGCCGCCCAUCUCUCUGAACAAGAUUGUGAACUCUGAACUUUGUGAGGCAAAGACCACAUACACCUCUUUAUUGCAAUGUGCAAGUGUCCUGGAAUAUAGGAGGUCUCCGAGAGCUAUGUGUUGACAUGGAGACCUUAUCCCUUGCACUCAGUUACACUGCUUCCAGUAAAGUAUCAACUUCUAGAUCAGCGCCUUCAGCUCCACUCCCUCCUGCACAGCUCCACAGGUACCUCAGGUCCAAAAUGGAAUUCUUGAUCUUUCACCAACCUGAGUCCUCUGUUCCUGUAAGUGGCAUCCAUUCACCCAGACCAGAGAUAGGGGAGUCACCCAGAAUCCCCCUCUCCCUCAGUCCCUGAGUUUCACUUUCCAACAUAUCUCCCUCCAGGUUCUUUCCAACACAUCUCCCUCCAGGUUCAAGCCUCGAUCUUGCCUGAUGUUUGCAGCUGCCUGCUCCCUUGUUUUUAUUUUUACCCCCAAGUUUUCCUCUACACUGCAGCUAGGGAGACCUUUCCUGCUGGAAUACAGCCAUUCACAUCUGCGAGAGGAAUCUAAACUCAAGGACCGACUCUCAGGAGAUGAAGAUCCAAUCACUCUAUCAAAGAAUAUGAGCAUUUCCGAGGCUCUUGUAAGACAUCCAGCCUCCAGAACUGUGAGUACUAUGCUGAAGAGAGCCCUCAUCAGCACCUGACCAACCUGACCAUGCUGCACCCUCAUCUUAGACGUUCAGCCUCCAGAACUGUGAAUACUAUGCUGAAGAGAGCCCUCACCAGCACCUGACCAUGCUGCACCCUCAUCUCAGAUGUCCAGCCUCCAGAACUGCACCAAGAUCUACGGUUCCCUGGAAGAAUGUAUAGAGCUGAGGAGCUGAAAGGAAUAAACUACUCUCAAGUAAACAUCUUUGGGUACUUUCAGCAACUUCAAAUUGUUCUCACCUUGAUCCAGCUGAGAAUGGUAAGUAGGCAUAGGGGUGUCUCUGAUCAGAAUUCUCCUGAGAGAACCUCAAGGGGUCAAAGACCUGAAAUGAGAGGACAACCCCAACACCAUCCCCCAAACAACAUGAACACAUUUCUUCACCUACCACCUAGCACCGAUCAAUAGAAAUAUAAUGUGAUCUACAUGUGUAAUUUAAAAUGUUCUGGUGGUCACAUUUUUAAAAGGUGAAGUUAAUCUUAAUAGAGUUUAUUUAACCAAAAAUUACCAUUCCAACCUGUAAUCAAUAUAAAUAAUUACUAAAAGGAAAUGUUUCACAUUUUUUUAGGGUACUAUGUCUUCAAAAUCCAGCACGUAUUUUAAACUUACAGCACAACUCAAUUCCAACUGGCCACAUGUCAUGUGCUCAGUAGCCGUAUGUGGCCCGUGGCUACUACACUGGGCAGUGUACCUUCAGACCUGCAGACCUUGCAGCUUCACAGCUGAUUUGUCUGAUACCCAGGCAAACAAAAAUACUAUGGCAAGUGGUAUUAUUUUCACUAUGGAGAUACAUCCACUUAGAAAUGGAUGUGCAUCCACUUAGAAAUCAAGUCAAAAUGAUGAUGUGGCCAAUUAUUACAGAGACAUAUACUCCAGCUUCCUGUUACAAGUAAUAGAUCUUAAACCUUAGUGGCUUACAUGAAAGAAAUCACUGAUACACGUCAAGAGUGUUUCAAGAACAUAGAAUAGUUUUACAUUUCUUUUGGCUUUUAUGUUUAUUUUUGUUUAAUUUGUGUCAUUUCCCUUAAUUAUAUAGCCACUUCUGUGCUUAGCUACCAAAAAGUGACUUGCACAGCAUUAGUUCUUGGAAGUAUUUAUGUACAAGAGAGAAUCAUACCUUUGGGUUUUUCCAGACAGCAGGGUUGUGGUGAAGACCCCAAAUACUAAGAACCACGGUGAUCCCUAAGAAAGGAGGGAAAUAAAAGAGACUGCAGGAGAAAGAGCAAGUUGUGGGCUACUGUGCUCUUAAACAAGACUUUUGUUCUUGAAGGGAAGAGCUAGCUCCUGGCAAUGCUCUGCCUGCUGUAGCUGAUGACACCAGUGAGGAGCACCUAAGAAGAUGCGGCUUGGGUUGGCACCUUAGCUUUCCACACAACAAUUUACUGAAUUCAUGAUUCUAUCUUAAGUAGCUGUUGGUGUCAUAUCAAAGUGAUAAACCAUGCUUAUAUUUUCUGCUAUGUUUGGAAAUUACUUAAAUAUUUGUUUUUUGUUUUUGUUUAGAGUCAGGGUCUGGCCUGUCAAUCAGGCUGGAGAGCAGUGGCGUGAACAUUGCUCACGGUAACCUUGAACUUCUGAGCUCAAGUGAUCCUCCUGCCUCAGUCCCCCAAGUAGGCAGGAAUACAAGCAUGCAACACCAUGCCUGGCUAUCUCUCUCUUUUUUUUUUUUUGUAAAGACAGGGUCUCCCUAUGUUGCCCAGGCUAGUCUCAGACUCCUAACUUCAAGCAGUCUUCCCACCUUGGUGUCACAAAAUAUUGGGAUUAUAUGCGUCAGCCACUGUGCCUGGCCUAAAUACCUAUUAAUGGACUAUUAAGCACUCCUGGAGACAAUUUAGGUAUAAAAGCACAGAACUGGCUGGGUGCAGUGGCUCAUGGCUGUAGUCCCAGCGCUUUGGGAGGCUGAGGAGGGCUGGUCUCGAGAUCAGGAGCUUGAGACUAGCCUGGCCAACAUGGUGAAACCCCAUCUCUAAUAAAAAUACAAAAAUUUGCCAGGCGUGGUGUGCACCUGUAAUCCCAGCUACUCGGGAGGCUGAGGCAGGAGAACUGCUUAAACCUGGGAGGCAGAGGUUGCAGUGAGCCGAGAUUACGCCACUGUACUCCAGCCUGGGCUACAUAGCAAGACUCUGUCUUGAGAGGAAAACGCACACACACACACACAGAACUGUGAUUCUGUCAUGCAGAUCCCAUGACAAAUUUCCAUUGGUGCUAUUCACAUAUGGAAAGUGGAGAAUUUUGGCAAAUAUCCAUGUGGUUUGGGGAGAAACAGAGUACAAAACAAAGGAGAGAGAAUGUGAGGGUUAUUUGGUUUCCAGAAAUAAUUCUAGCUUCCAGAAAUUAAUUCUGGGUCUGUCAGCAAAGUUACAGUAACAGGCUGUAGGUGUUUGCCAGAAGCAAUCCUGUUGGCUUGCUUCCUAAGACAUGAAUUAAUAGAACAUUGAAUCAGAUAAUAUGUCUCACAUGACCCCUCUGCUUCCUAUAAGCCCUGCUCAGAAACCUGUGUUGUUCCGAAGAACUCUAGGCUCCAGACUCAGGGUCUCCGCACAAGUUCUAGCUCUGCUCACAUCAGUUAAUGUCAUCUACACAUUGGGGCUGCCUCUGGAUUUUGGGCCACAUUGAAAGUACUUAAAAGUGUUCAGUGAACUGUAAAUCAUUGUAUAAGCGUCUGUUAACAUUGGAUUCCAAGGGGAAAAAUGAGAUAAUGGGUCUGAAGGCUCUAUAUUAACUAUUAAAUGUUGUAUAUUUAUAAGGGUGAUAUUAUGAUGAUGAGGCCAAAGAUCCCCCUUGGUCUUUCAGAUAAAGAUGCUGGUGCUAUUUUCCAUGAAGUUUCAGCUCGGUCUCAAACUCAGCCAAACAAAGAUUAUCUUAGAAAUGAUGUCCCACAAUGGAAGAGACCCUGGGCUGGGAUUCCAGAGACAUGGAUUCUGGGCUUAGCUUUGCUGCAACUGGCUAUGUGCCUUUGGGAAAGUCAUUGAAAUUCAUGUCUGACCAAAGCAUUAUCCUCUGAGCUCCUCAUAGGUGAUAAAACCUAAGUCACAUGUUAGCAUUAUCUUUUGACUUCUCCAAGUGCUAAGAGACUCACUAAUCUUUGUCACUGUGGUCUCCAGGAUCCCAUAGCCUCUAAGAACUGCUUAGGAAAAGAAUGUAAAGACCUGCAGGCAAUGUGCAUCCAUCUGGGAAGGUAAGUGGCUUGCUGAGAUCUCUGGAAAUGGACGGGACUGCAGGAAUCAAUCGGCACGUCUCCUUGAUGCACAUUGUGGUGUACGACAUCUCACCCAGCUGGUCCCUGUGAGGAUGAGGGAGGGAAGGGACUCAGAUAUCAUAACCAGUUUACUUUUUUUCUGUUUUCUGUUUGUUCCUGGUAAUUAUUACCCUCAGGUUAAAGCCAUUUUGCCACUGGUUUAUGUAACAGAAUGUUAAAAUGGGACUCUCUGCCUCAGGAUGAGCUGAGGUCCCAGAGGCAGAGGAACCAAAGAAAUAUAUCAUAUAUCCUUAUUAUAAAGUGAGCUGCUAAACUAGCAGUAAAACAUUUGCUAAGGAGAUUUCUAAAAACCAGUUUUGUAACUCUUAGCUCAUCAUAUAAAGUAAUAAUACAUAAAAAUGGCGAAGGAUUAAAGAGGAGAGGCUUAAGAAUUUUGAGAGAAAAAAUUAUUUAAAGUGUUGUUGGAAUGCCAGAGUGCCAUGGAAAAGGAAGGGUGCUUCCCCCAUCUUAAACAAGAGGCUUCAAGAGGAUCACUUAGAUGAUCUGACUUGUGCUCCUUGGAGUUUGGGGAGUACAGGACUGAUGUGAAAGGCUAUAACUCAGAACAGACAGAAAGGCAGAGGACAGCAGCAGAGGCAAGGCAAGGAUGUGCAACUGUGUCCUUAAACCAAUUAACUGGCAAGAGGGAAAGCUCUGGGACCAGCUUGAAAAAGAGUCUGCCUAAGGACAAUUAUUCUCUUGUCCCCUGAAUCACCUCUGGAAAGUUCUAGUGAGAGAGUCUCCAAGAAAGGGAGUUUCCUCUUGAGAGAAAGGGAAGCAUGGAAUAUCCACCAAGCCCUUUGGCAUGAUCACAAUAGUACCAGCCCUUUACUCCUUAUCCCCUUUCCUCCUAAAACCAUUCCUGGAGGGCCCAGAAACAGCAGCUACUGGGUAUUGGGGAGCUAGUCAGUAAGAAUAAGUCGAUGAUAAACCACUGCUGGCUUCUAGGACCAAAGAAGUACCAAGCUGGGAUGGAAAGAAGAGCUCAAGUGGAUAAGUAUUUGAAAGUUUCAGUAUUACACUGGGCCAGAUAGUUUAAUUACUGACCUAAGAUUGUUCUUGUGAUUUAAAUGAAUGAGAACUCUAUGAGACUUACUCAGGAUCUUUCCCCAGAGAUAAAAAGAACUUGCUCCACAAAGCAGGUUUAAAGUUUAUAAGUGGAAGAAGAAUAAAGUUUUUUUUAAAUUUGCAUCCUACCUAGUCUGCAUCCAAUCUAGUCAGAUUGGUUCCAUAAAAUGACUGCAUAUAUUUAGUCUGUUUAUCUUAUUGUGUUUUUAUAUGUUUUUCUGAUUACUUAUUUUGAAUGCAGGCUUUGGCCAUUAGGUAAUGUGAAAUUUUAAUUUUGAAUUCUUUCUUCCUCAAGCUCAGGAUAAAUAAGAGUAAUUCUGGCCAGGCGCAGUGGCUCACACCUGCAAUCCCAGCACUUUGGGAGGCCUAGGUGGGCGGAUCAUCUGAGGUCGGGUGUUCAAGACCAGCCUGACCAACAUGGAGAAACCCCGUCUCUACUAAAAAUGCAAAAUUAGCCGAGCAUGGUGGUGCAUGCCUGUAAUCCCAGCUACUCAGGAAGGCUGAGGCAGAAGAAUCGCUUGAACCUGGGAGGCAGAGGUUGCGGUAA